AAAUUACGAGCCCAGGCUUAAAACCCAAAGGACUUGACGGUGUUCCACCCCUCUAGAGGAGCCUGUUCUAUAAUCGACUUUCCCCGAUCUACCCUACCACCUUUUGAAUAUUCAGCCUGUAUACCUCCGUCGCAAGCUUACCCUGUGAAUGCACUCAGUGAGCUCAAUGAUUAAACACCCAUACGUCAGGUCAAGGUGCAGCCUACGAGGUGGAGAGAAAUGGGCUACAAUUUCUACCAUAGAACAAACGAAAGACUACAUGAAACACAGUCGCUGAAGGCGGAUUUAGUAGUAAAAAGAAAAUAGAGAGUUCUUUUUAAUUAGGCACUGGAACGCGUACACACCGCCCGUCACCCUCUUCAAAUAUAAAUAUUAUGUCACUAACACUAUACACCCCCAUAGAAGAGGUAAGUCGUAACACGGUAAGUGUACUGGAAAGUGCACUUGGAAUAACAAAAUGUAGCUUAAUAAAAGCACCUUGCUUACACCAAGAGUAUGUCUGUGAAACCCCGACCAUCUUGAGCCUAAAACCUAGCCCCCCCAUUAAACUCAAUGAAACCUUUCUUUCUUCCACAAAAAUUAAAACAUUCUUACACUUAGUAAAGGCGAUUAAAAAGUACUUAGGAGCCCUAAUACUAGUACCGCAAGGG
Molecule: ribosomal RNA, 650 nt
Filed under: Mantophryne cf. lateralis LAO-2013
Lineage: Eukaryota; Metazoa; Chordata; Amphibia; Anura; Microhylidae
Description: partial 12S ribosomal RNA
Rfam family: Bacterial small subunit ribosomal RNA (bases 1-460)
Source: RNAcentral